GGGGUAGUGGCGUAAUGGUAACGCGUCUGGCUUCGAUUGCCGUUCUAGCGUUUCUUCACAAAAACGUGGUGCCCAAAUCUCUAACCAGAAGAUUGCAGGUUCGAGUCCUGUCUGCCUCA
Transfer RNA from Fomitiporia mediterranea MF3/22, 119 nucleotides. It matches the Rfam family "tRNA". Rfam says of the family: Transfer RNA (tRNA) molecules are approximately 80 nucleotides in length. Their secondary structure includes four short double-helical elements and three loops (D, anti-codon, and T loops). Further hydrogen bonds mediate the characteristic L-shaped molecular structure. tRNAs have two regions of fundamental functional importance: the anti-codon, which is responsible for specific mRNA codon recognition, and the 3' end, to which the tRNAs corresponding amino acid is attached (by aminoacyl-tRNA synthetases). tRNAs cope with the degeneracy of the genetic code in two manners: having more than one tRNA (with a specific anti-codon) for a particular amino acid; and 'wobble' base-pairing, i.e. permitting non-standard base-pairing at the 3rd anti-codon position. The record is from Rfam. Lineage: Eukaryota; Fungi; Basidiomycota; Agaricomycetes; Hymenochaetales; Hymenochaetaceae.